This is a non-coding RNA of Mycena epipterygia, 91 nucleotides long. Lineage: Eukaryota; Fungi; Basidiomycota; Agaricomycetes; Agaricales; Mycenaceae. The record is from the annotation of a GenBank genome assembly.
GACUCGGUGGUGGAUGGACCGCGUCUGCGCUCGUUGUCACGUUUGGAUAUAAUUUACGCAGAAGGUGCCUGUUCGAUUCAGGCUCGAGUCA